This 925-nucleotide ribosomal RNA is filed under the name uncultured Bacillota bacterium. Its description in RNAcentral is "bacterial SSU rRNA". It matches the Rfam family "Bacterial small subunit ribosomal RNA", at positions 1 to 917 of the family's 1533-position model. The record is from RNAcentral. Lineage: Bacteria; Bacillati; Bacillota.
UCCAGACUUUGAUUCUGGCUCAGGAUGAACGCUGGCGGCAUGCCUAAUACAUGCAAGUCGAACGAGAGGAAGGAAAGCUUGCUUUUCUGAAUCUAGUGGCGAACGGGUGAGUAACACGUAGGUAACCUGCCCAUGUGCCCGGGAUAACUUCUGGAAACGGAUGCUAAAACCGGAUAGGUAGCAGACAAGCAUUUGACUGCUAUUAAAGUGGCUAUGGCCAUGAACAUGGAUGGACCUGCGGUGCAUUAGCUAGUUGGUGAGGUAACGGCCCACCAAGGCGACGAUGCAUAGCCGGCCUGAGAGGGCGGACGGCCACAUUGGGACUGAGACACGGCCCAAACUCCUACGGGAGGCAGCAGUAGGGAAUUUUCGUCAAUGGGGGGAACCCUGAACGAGCAAUGCCGCGUGAGUGAGGAAGGUCUUCGGAUCGUAAAGCUCUGUUGUAAGAGAAAAACGGCACUCAUAGGGAAUGAUGAGUGAGUGAUGGUAUCUUACCAGAAAGUCACGGCUAACUACGUGCCAGCAGCCGCGGUAAUACGUAGGUGGCGAGCGUUAUCCGGAAUGAUUGGGCGUAAAGGGUGCGUAGGUGGCAGAUCAAGUUUGGAGUAAAAGGUAUGGGCUCAACCCGUACUGGCUCUGGAAACUGAUCAGCUAGAGAACAGAAGAGGACGGCGGAACUCCAUGUGUAGCGGUAAAAUGCGUAGAUAUAUGGAAGAACACCGGUGGCGAAGGCGGCCGUCUGGUCUGGAUUCUGACACUGAAGCACGAAAGCGUGGGGAGCAAAUAGGAUUAGAUACCCUAGUAGUCCACGCCGUAAACGAUGAGAACUAGGUGUUGGGGGAAUAACUCAGUGCCGCAGUUAACGCAAUAAGUUCUCCGCCUGGGGAGUAUGCACGCAAGUGUGCAACUCAAAGGAAUUGACGGA